RNAcentral lists this non-coding RNA (46 nucleotides) under Trichobilharzia regenti. The record is from RNAcentral. Lineage: Eukaryota; Metazoa; Platyhelminthes; Trematoda; Strigeidida; Schistosomatidae.
GUAUUGAUGAAGAGUCCCAAACUGGGACGGAACAGCUGUCCAGUAC